Molecule: long non-coding RNA, 5380 nt
Organism: Anopheles coluzzii
Lineage: Eukaryota; Metazoa; Arthropoda; Insecta; Diptera; Culicidae
Exons: 2
Source: RefSeq, a predicted model, not a curated record
UAACAGCAAUGUUUAAUCAUACCAACUAUUGCAAUGUUUUCGAUGACAUCUUGAAUAUGUCCAGGCUAUUAUCAAGAUCUGAAUUUCUACUUGACUCGAUGUCGAUCCAUGGUUCAAGAUGCGUAGCUCUGUUGCUAGUUGAGCCAAUAGUACUAGGAAAUAGGUAUUCCAAUAGAAUUAAUUUCAGUGCCUUCUAAUAUAAUUAAAAAUUAUGUUGGAACAACAUGACCAUUGCAUGGAGAGAUUCAUCCUUCAAAAGCCAUCAUCAUACUAGAAUUAUAUAACAAUUAUCAUUCAUGGACAACAAUUCGCAAAGCAUAAAAGUGUAAUUCUAUGACAAACGAAAUCAAAAUCUCCAUAACUAACGUCAAUGACCAAUCCCAACGACUCAUCAAAUGAAGACAACCUAUCUAAACUGUUGUAAUUAACGCUGGAAAGAAUCGUUUGCGCUCAUCACGAUCGCUUCCCAGGAAGUAUGCUGUUGGUGACCCAUAUGGCACUGACCGACCGGGCCCCGGGUAGUACAAACGCGCCUGAUAGCCGGACAAGCUGAUAGUGAAACGAGUGCACGCGAUAAGCCUAGUGCUAGUGGCCUCGGGCUGUACUAGCUACUGUGUGUGUGUGUGUGUAGUUCUCUAUUACCGCCCAUCUGGCUGCGAUAAGAAAACGAGAAACUGCGCUUAGAAGUUGUGAACGUGACUGCAUGUAUACUAAAGCCAGUAAAGAGCCAGAGUUGAUGCUGAUGCGUUUCAAAGACAGAUCGCUUCCAGCGCUAAAGAGCAUUACAGCAGCUUCACCGCAGCACGCAAUGAUGUAACUUGGUUCCUCCCAUUCCUCUUCACCCCUCACCCCAACAGCGAUCUGUAAUUGUAAUUGAAGCUGCCGAUCGAGAGGGGAGAGUGAGAGCGGCGUGGCCGGCAAAGGGUGUGGUACAAUUUAUUUGUUUAUUUACUUUCGCGUGCUCGCACUUAUCGCACGGCCAAACCUCCCCAACUGCGUACACGCGGCCAUAUUGUUGAUGUUUGUCAAGUUAGCUGCCGUCCGCCGCCGCCGGUGCCCAUCGGUGCGGCUUAUCAGGGUGACGGCCGACAGAAUGGCUGGGGUUGUGUUCUCGCGACUCCCAGUCUGGCCAGGCCGAGUGGCCGAUGAUGAACGGCCCGGGAACGGGUCGCCGCGUUCUAUAUGAAGGAUGGAUUCUUACUCUUGCGCUCAAUGUUUGCGACUCCUGCGCCUCGCCCCAGAGCUCGCUUUAAACAACCAGCCCCAAAUCAAACACUGUUGCUGCUAAAAGGGGUUCGGGGCGGAGGGAUAAAGGCAGCCUGCGCGACCCAUCGCGGCCGUACAGUGGAGCGAGAGUUGAAACGAUUCUCAUGUCAACCAUGGCCGCACGACACCGCACCGCGAUAAGAUAGCAGCGGGCCCGCGAAAGCAAAUUGCUCUGACAAAACACACGAAAACUGUCGUGCACGGCUUUCUGCCCGGGUGACAUCCGACACCAUCUGACCCCCCCCCCCCACUCCUUCCCUGGGGAAGGGGUGAAAGAGUUCGGAUGGGUGGCCUUAAAUGCGUUGCGCUUUUACUGACAAACGUGUUCGCGUUACUCGCUGAAGGGGGAGAAGAUGGGAGACAAAUUGUCUGCGACAUCAUCUCUUCUUUUACCGGUUUUGUUUCUCAAAGUCUUUCCCCGAUUGUCUUUCCAAACUCCCAGUGAAGGAUGCGAGUAGGAGGAGCGGGUGAGAGAGAGAUCGAGGGAAUGGAUGUAACUUUUCCUUGGCCGCGUGGAAGUAAAAACUGGUGGCUUUCCGCUCCAAGUGCGACCGGGCGUACCGGAAUUAGUUAGUGCGAUUGGUGAGAGAGCAACUCGAUGUCACGUAAACACCGGAAGGAAGGCUCCAUUUGGGGGGAAUGUGAACUCGUUACACCACACUGCGGUGGUGUGACUUUGGGCUAAAAACAAUGCUAAACGAGACACAGAACCGGGGUUUUAUUUGUAUUUUCUUUGACGAAAAAAUAAAAGAAAUCACUAAGAUAUGAGUUAUGCAGCGAUAAUGUAAAUGUUGUGGAUAUUGAUUUGAUGUAGUACAAAACUUUGUUCUGUCCGACAGCUUUUUAUUAUUUUUAUUUAUUAUUUUAUUUUAUUUCUGCACUUCUGCACGAUGUUAGUGCAGAUUUAGGAAUUAAAAGUUAGUAAGCUGAAGCUGAUUAAUUCAAAUUUCUACCUUUUUUGACAAAAUAUUAAUGGUUCAGCAAAAGCAAUUAAAACAUGCAUGAAAUAGGCAAGAAUCUUGCGGUUGUUUGGCGCACGGUUUUUUUUCUUAUUAUUAUUUCAGCCAUCAACUGUCAACUUCAAUUCGUUAAUAAAAGCUGGUUAGUAUCGUAAUGCCUCCAAUUCUUAGAUUAUUUAACAGUUUCACAAAUAAAUCUUAUGUUACAGUGAUACUCCAACCAGCUCAAGUUCAUUUCAUAAAAUCCAAAUUCAGCAUUAUCCAAUGGGUGGCAGUCAAUGACAGAUGAUUCGAUUUGAUAUAGUUGAAUAUUAUUCUGUAGACUUGACACAUUGUUUUGUAUACAAGGAACAGGAUACACACCACUAGAUAGAAUGUUUUAUUAGAUUCAGCUAUUAAAAUUCUUGGAUUUAUUUACUAAAUCUAAUGUACUACUCUGCAUUAAUAAUCUGUUAAUGACAUGUUUUAAGUUGAAUUACUGAAGCAUCAAGCUGGAAAACUGACCAUAUCGAUCUGUGUCUAUAAAAUCCAGUCUGGUAAGGCCGGUCUGGUGGUACAGUCGACCACUCGUACGACUUAACAACAUGCCCGGCAUGGGUUCAAGCACCGAAAGAAUCGUUGAUACGUAAGACAGACUAUCCUGCUAUGGUAAUAAAUAAAUCACUGAAAGCCAAGCCCACUAGUGGGACAAGCAGACACCUUGACCGACAUCGAUUGUUGUGCCAAAGAAGAAGAAGAAGAAGAAGUCUGUAAAAAAUGCAUGCAAUUAAUAGAUUGCAUUUUCAAAACUGAAAGGAAUUUUUUUUUUGUUUAUUAUCAUAAUUCUUAUUAUUUUGGCAAUUAUCAUAUUUGGCUUAAUUCUAAUUAUCAUAUUUUGGCAAGUACUCGUUCUAAGCUGAUAAAAGGCCCAAAUCAUGUUAAGAGGGUUGUUGAGCACAAACAAUUAAAUUCAAUUUAUACAAAUUUAAAUUUUGAAUAUAACCUUAUUCAUAAUUUGUUUGAAAAUAGUAGUGAGGAAAAAUUGGAAGAAUUCUAUGAAUUGUAUUGUAAACCAUGAAUUAUGACAAAAAAAUGUUAAAAUUUUGUACAAUUCAAGGUAAAAAAAUAAUAAUAAAAUCAAUUAUUACUUAUUCAAUUAAAGGGCUCCUACUCACACUACAAAUUCAGUUAUUUUAUCAUAUUUGUAUCUUUGUUCAAAUAAUGUUUGUGCUUUUAUUCAAAGGAUGUGCGCUUGGAAAACAAAUAAUAUGCGCUUGGAAAAUAACGAAACUGUUUGGUACAAUUGCUACUGCAAAUUAUCUUUACUUUAAUUAUUGUAGAGAACUAUUUAAUUUAAUCACUAGAAUGUUUUACGCAACCUUUUCAACUUAAAUAAAUUCUUCAUUGAUUUUUGAGUGUAUUUUUUCCACAUUUUUCAUUUUUUCUUAGUUUAAAUCAUCACUAGUCAAACAGCUUGCAAUUGAUUUCAUAACGUUUGAACCGGAAAAAAACUCGCUGAAAUUGAACGUCGAUUGCUAACCUAACUACCGUUUUAACCAAAGCAAACAGAAGGGAAGUGGCACAGCCCAAAGACACGCCACCGAAUCACCUGAUUGGAGCGGUGAAAAAAAGGCACAAAAGCAAGCAAACGAACCAAGCAGAAAAUCAGACCUCAAAGGGAGCAAUAACAACAGCAAACAAACAAACAGAAGAAAAAAAAAUCGCCCAGCUAAUAGAAUAACCCAACGGCAGAGGAAAUAAACAACGGCAGCGGCAACAACAAAAAAUGUGCAAGGUGUUAAGCACUUCAAAGCCGGAGACGGAUAUGGUUGGUAGGCGCGUGGCCCGAACAGCCGAUUGCAAAACAAACGUUCGAUACCCCGACCGGGAAGGCACACGCGAUGGACGGCUUUUCCCGUUUCGCAACGCCCGAGGGGCCUGUCGCACAAACACACACACACACACCCCUUUUAGGGUUUCCCCCGUGACAUUAGCAAACGGUUCCUGCGAGGCCUGCUCCAAAAAUAAAGCCAUCGCGAAACCCUUUCCGACCAACCGCGGGACACCGAGGGCAGGUCGCAAAAUGGGCUGACAGUGUCUUAGUCACCGUGGCCGCCGCGGGUUGACCGAUCAGGUGACCGUGAAGGUGGCAUGAUGACCGAUCACGUUCCGAUCCGCAUGGCAACGCGCCUGCCGCCGUCAAUCGAGUGAGAAGAAGCGGCAAACACGCACACACACACACACACACCUCCGGGUGGGCGUUACCGAGGCGCAUCGGCCAAAUCCAUCAGGCACGAGGAAGGAACAGCUUUCGUUUUCCUGCUUUGCUGCUCCAAAAUUAUCCAUCCAGCCUUCCGCCACGGUUGCUAGACGGAUGUGCUAUGCUUUUGCAACAAAAAAGAGAAGUUUUAAAAACACCCAGCCAGCCAGCCAGCAACAACGGACCACUUUGCCGAAUAAACAGUUUUAACAUUGGGUAAGAAACUCGAUGACUAAGCGGGGCAGACGAAUUGCAGCCACUCGGGCGGUGAUGGUUGUUGCCGACUGUUUGCUGCUCACUGGCCCGUGCUGGGGCCUGCAUCGCUGACUGAUGGGAAGGUGACCAUGAGCGAUGAAUAUUGCACACAUGCGUGCGCGAUGCAGGUGGGGCCUAUUUAACCGGAGGAUGUCCGGUACCGGUUACAGUGCGGAAGGGGCUCACCCUCGGCUUUGUAAGUGGGAGUUUAUUAAGUAGCUGUUGAAUAAAUAGUCUAUUGCACAUUUAAUGCAAGCUGUGGGUCACAAAGUGCACUCUUGGUGGGCUUCAUUAGCUGAUGCAUUAAGGCAUCUUUGAGCAUGAGAUAAAAUAAUGAAUCCACCUUGCUGGUGGACUGUUUCUUCAUGAUCACAUCAAAUUGAUAGAGAUUUAAGAACAAAUUUAAUUAUUUGCAUUUACUUAUUAUUUAAUGUUUUAUACGAAAAAAAGCAAAUUGAUUUAAAAGCACGAUUAACAUCCCACUGUGCUUAUUGAAAUAUGUUAAAAUUAGCUGUUGCUAGGCAAACAGAUUUACAAUUUGUGAUGGAACAGGUUUGCACUAAAAACAUAUUUAAAACAUGAAUUGCUUGAAAAGCUAAAACAAACAAAACAUUUACAAAAAGUGUAAUAUGAAUAAAUGUUAGAUCUUGACCAAUGAUAA